UGGGGUGUAGCUCAGUGGUAGAGCACUUGUCUAGCAUGCUUAAGGUCCUGGGUUCAAUCCCUAGUGCUACAA
This 72-nucleotide transfer RNA is filed under the name Heterocephalus glaber (naked mole-rat). It matches the Rfam family "tRNA". Rfam says of the family: Transfer RNA (tRNA) molecules are approximately 80 nucleotides in length. Their secondary structure includes four short double-helical elements and three loops (D, anti-codon, and T loops). Lineage: Eukaryota; Metazoa; Chordata; Mammalia; Rodentia; Bathyergidae. The record is from Rfam by way of RNAcentral.